UAUUGUAGGACUUGUAUUUAUC
This 22-nucleotide microRNA is filed under the name Caenorhabditis brenneri. RNAcentral's name for it is "cbn-miR-7620a". Lineage: Eukaryota; Metazoa; Nematoda; Chromadorea; Rhabditida; Rhabditidae. The record is from miRBase by way of RNAcentral.